This is a long non-coding RNA of Homo sapiens (human), 563 nucleotides long. The record is from Ensembl. Lineage: Eukaryota; Metazoa; Chordata; Mammalia; Primates; Hominidae.
UACUGCACUGCCACUCAUCAAAAAGAUUUUUUGGGCUGGGUGUAGUGGCUCACACCUGCAAUCCCAGCAUUCUGGGAUGCCAAGGAGAAUGGGUCAUUUGAGGUCAGGAGUUCAAGAUCAGCCUAGCCAACAUAGUGAAAUGCUGUCUCUACUGAAAAUGCAAAAAUUAGUUGGGAGAGGUGGUGUGUUCCUGUAAUCCCAGCUACUUAAGAGGCUGAAGCAGGAGAAUUGCUUGAACCCAGGAGGAGGAGGUUGCAGUGAGCCAACAUCAUGCCAAACUCAGUCUCAAAAGCCAAAGGUGGCUUGUUUCUAUUCGCAAGCCCUCAACCAUUCAGCAUCUCCACCCUCUUCUGAGGUUCUUCCCAUCUCUCUGAAGCUGUAAUCCCAUCGUCACUUCCUCUGGCAACACGGGGACUGCCUGCCAUGCCCUAACUCCUCCUUGUGCUUUUGGCCUUCGCCUAAGAGUUCCUUGGAGUUUCUUCACAGCAUCUGUAGCCAUCUGAAGUGUCAUCUUCUGUACUAUAUUGCCAGUGCCUACAAUUACGACUGGUAUACUCAACCAG